UGCUGUAUCCCCACGAAGAUUGAUGUAUUUUUGGACAAGAACAACAAACAAUGGUAACCUCUGUAUCCACACAUUUUUUAUUGAUCUUAUGUUCAUUUUAUGCAUUAACAUUAUCUGUUCGCUAUUCUUCUCUAUCAAAUACAACAGUGUAAUAUCUGUAACUGAAUCUUAGUUGAUCUUGUUUCGUGGCAUCACCCCUUUUUCUUGAAGCGACGAGAGAGAGAGAGAGAGAGAGAGAGAGAGAGAGAGAGAGAUGAUAGAUGCACUUGCAAAUUGGACGUUCCAUUCUUCUAGAUUCAUAGCAAUCCAACAAUGGAUACUGAUUGUUGGUUCCUUCUUCAGUAUGCUUCAUUUUGGUCCCCAUCCAUAAAUUUGCAACUGAUGCAGCACUCAUGUACACUUGUAACUUGGUUACUUUAUUAGUAACUGAAUCCUAAAACAAAGGCAGAAGGAUGAUACAUAUAACAAAGCCUUUGUAUCUAGUCGCUACUAUUUGUUUUCUCUAAAUAAAAUUCUCUAAAAUAGUUGCUACUAUUUGUUAAAUCUAGGGCCUCAUUUUUUAAUUGGCACCGGGCCUCCGUUUUCUCGGAUACGGCCCUGAUCAUGAAGCUAGCUAAUCUUUUGAUUCAGAAGAUUCCCACAUCCCACUUUUGUGCAACUCUCACACUCUAAUAUAUCUUUGUCCUGUUUAUCCAUCUGUACACAGGAACUGUUUUUUAUUUUCUUUUCUUGGUGCAUAAUCCGGGUGAGCAACAUUGGUUCUCCAAUAUCAGAGUAUAUGUGCCAUCUAGCCUAGUCUGCUAGUACUAUCUUCCAUGCAUUCAUUAUUUAAUUCUCCACUCUCAGAUUAUAUAAUACAAUAUGAAAAUUUGAUAAACAACUAAGCAAGGAAAUUCUGUUUGUAGUUUCAAGUCAUGCAAAGUUGUUGUUGUGAUGAGAUAUUGAUUUCAAGUCAUGCAAAAUUAUGUUGCUGCUGGGAAAAACUGCUGCUGAAUUAUUCCCAUGUAGCAACUUUGUCUCAUUUUUAUUAGGUGACCUUUACAAUUCUGUAGCAAGGAUAUAAGGGGAGUUAGUUACAUUGUAAAUUUGGAUUUUUAAAUGUUCUACACCAUGUUAUGUCAGUAUGACAAAACUUGCCUACCAAACAGAAAACUUAAACAAAGAAGAUUGUGGAUGGAGGGGUUUGGGGGAUUCAAGGGGUUUUGAGGGGAUUGGGUGGAGGGAAGGGAUUCACCCAAUCCCCUGAAAUCCCCCCUCCCCAAACCUCCCCAAUCCACUUCUACCAAACAAAGCCUGAUGGUUGUCAUAAUCCGCGACCAAGUAUUCGUGAUAAGUUCAGCUGGGCAGAGUGUGUGCUUUGUGACCCUCCUGCUGUUGGUCAUGUCUCCUGUAGCUGUGGCUGUAAGGGCUCAGAAGACGAAAUCGUAACAGCGAGAAGAACCAGCUUUGGAAGAAAGAACUGGAUUACUUGGUGAGGAGGCUGCGCAGCAGGAUUCUGAGAAUGCCAGCUCUAGCACUGCGCUCAUGGGAUCUGGUCAGGACAUCUCGUCAGACAAAGAGAACCUGAAUGUGGUGCGGGCCAUGUGUAAAUUCAACUUCUGGCAGACUGCUGUCUUUCGUAGAGAAAUGAGGAAAUGCGUACUUAUGCAAACAAGCUAAGUUUCGUUCUGCAUUUACAAAUACACAGUGUUGGGAUUAUGUAGUAUUGUACUACUUACUCUACCUAUAGCAACAUUACAACAGUCGCUUCAUGUGUGAAUUAGCAAAUGAGAAAAGGAAGCUACAUUAUUUUAUUUCAGUUGAGUGAUAUAUGUCUUAUCUGAACCAACACUGCAUCUCUUGGUCACGGAGCAUGUAGUGGACAUGCUCACUCUACUCCUGUAUCUUGUCAGCUUGCAUGUUGUCUCCAAUGGCUUCCUCUGAUGUUUUGUCCUUCCCUUCCUCUUUCUCCUUGGCUUUCUUCACUUCAGCCUCCUCUUUCUCCUUGGCUUUCUUCGCUUCAGCCUCCUUGGCCUUCUCUUCCUCCUUCGCCUUGGCGACCGCCGCGUCUUCUUUGGCCUGCUUGAGCGCCUCGAUGAGGCCUGCCAAGCACACGUCAGGGUCCCUCUUUUUCUUCUUGGACAUGGGCAUCAGGUUCUCCGCCACGUCAGCGGGCGACAUGUCGGUCUCCUCGAGCAGCUGCUGAAUCUCCCCAAACAGCUCAUGCCCGACGACAUCUAGGUAGUUCUUGGCGAGUACCUUGAAGCUCUCAAAGCGGCAGUAAGACAUCUCAAUGUGCUUGUCCAUCCUGCCCCGCCGGAUCAGUGCCGGGUCCAGCUUCUCCUUGUAGUUGGUGGUGAAGAUGAUGAUCCGCUCGCCGCCGCACGCAGACCACAGCCCGUCGAUGAAGUUGAGCAGGCCAGAGAGCGUCACCUUGGUCGCGUCAUCCUUCUCUGGCUCGAUUGGUAGCUUGGGUUUGUCGUUGCCAUCGGAGUCCUUGUCGCGAGAGGCCUUCUUGUCCUUGCGGCGUUUUCCGGUGAGGUCAGCGGAGCAGUCAAUGUCCUCUAUGACGAUGAUGGACUUGCCCGUCGUCUCGAUGAAGAGCUUCCGCAACUCGGUGUUGUUGUUGAUGGCCGUGAGCUCGAGGUCGUAGACGUCGUAGUCGAGGAAGUUGGCCAUGGCGGCUAUCAUAGUGGACUUGCCGGUGCCGGGCGGGCCGUAAAGGAGGUACCCGCGCUUCCACGCCUUGCCGACCUUAGCAUAGUACUCCUUGCUCUCUUGGAAUGCCAUGAGGUCGUCGAUGACGUCCUCCUUCUGUUUCAGGUUCAUGGCAAGGGUGUCGAAGGUCGCCGGGUGCUCGAACGGUACAUGGCUCCAGGCGCUCUUGGCCCCGUAAGGGCUCGAGCUGCCGCUGGCCUUGUUGGUGAAGAGGCGGCGCUGGCGGUUCUUGAUAAUGACGGUGCGGCCCUCACCGAGGACGAAAGGCAGGUAAGAAUCGACGAUGAGGUCGUGGUGUCGCUUAUGGAAGGUGACCCGGUAGAAGCGCUUCUCGUCCUCGCCAGGGUACAAACUGAUGACAUUGGCCUUGGGUCGCUGCUUGGAGGCGUGCCACCAGAGCGUGGCGCCGGAGAAGUCAUCGGUGACUCCCUCGUGGUCGUCGAUGGAGACCUGGAUGUUCUUGCUGUCCUUGCCGAGCUCAGCUUUGAGCCUGCGCGCGCGACGGGCACAUGCGUCGCUCAGGUAGGCCUCGACGGCGAGGAAGAGUUCGCUUCGCUUCCAGCGCUGGGCGCCGUUCUCCGAGAUGGUGAUCUGGAGGUAAGGGUUGAAGUAGGCGGUGAGCUUGGCGGCCAAAGCGGCGAGGUUGAGGCGGAGGGCGUCCGGGAUGUGGUUCUGCACCAUGGACCAUAGGAAGAUGGUGCUCGCCACCGCCGAUCCGAACCAUGGCCACCACUCCACCAUCGCCACCUCCAUGGCUGGACCUCUUGAUUUUUGUGUCUUGGGUUUUUCUUGCUGGAAGGCUGUAGCUCUAUUUGGCUCUGCACCGGACGGCACCUGAGUGAGUGAGUGGUUGUGCGUGUAUAUAAUGCUGGCUGGAGACGUGUGGUGAUUCACUUAGGUUAACCCAGGUCGUCGUCUUUGUCGUUAUCGGAGCAGAUCGUCGGGGUAGGUGGAGAGGAGCUGUUGGAGCCGAGAAAAAUCGGCGAGUCCAUACACACGGAACAAACUCAUGAAUUCCCUUUUCCCAGUACAGAUUGAGACAAGAUGAGUGAAUGGUUGGGUCUAGCCAACAGGUCAUGUUGGAGUGUUUCGUAUUGUAGUACUCAAUCCAUAGUACAAUUUUUUUGAAGAAGAAAAAUCACUGUAUCUUUUUAUGCAAGGGAGAGUACAGCUCACUCUGCUCCUGUCACUUCACUUCACUUGUCACCUUGCUUCAUGUCUCCAUUGGCUUCCUCUGAUGUUGUGUCCUUUGCUUCGCCUUCCUUCUUGGCAUUCUUCACUAGCAAGCAACCAGCAAUCCUGCCACUUGCCUGAUGCUGGACAAGAAGUGAGAAUCACUAGGAGAUGGUUUACUUUUGGUUGAUGAAGUAGAGUAACUUUCUGCAGGUUUUCAGCGCUAACAAAAUCCUGCCACUUCAUACAAGACUGAUGUUCAGAAUUCUGCCAUUUACAUACAGGACUGAUGUUUGUAGAAUCGAAAUUCAGUAAAUCCAAGCCCACCUUGAUCUCUAGGUUGACACACAUCAAGCCAGGUGGUGCUGAAAAGGUCAAGAAGGUCAGAUCAAAUCAAAUCCCAAAACUUGUGAAAGAAUUCAGUGGGGGAAAGGGCCUGUUGUGCUCCACAGAAGUGAAAAAUAACUGCAAAUUUAGUCUCCUCAAGAUCUAACGGUCUAGUCAUAGCAUAGGCUAGGUUGAUCUAAUCCUAAAGAUCUGUGUGGUGUGGUGAUUUACUUGACUUGAGCGCUACCGGUAGCCGUUGUUGUCGUCGUCGGAGCAGGAGAAGAUGAGCUAUCAGAAGAGAUAGGCCUUUUGCCCAGUAUACGUGGAGUCCUUGGCAGUACACUCUACAUAGCAACAUUACAAGAGCUAGCUGAUAUUUUUCCUUUAAGAAACGCUGCAUCUUUUGAAAGGGAAUCGUUCUAAUUCUAUCACUUGUCACCUUGCUUGAUGUCCCCAGGUGCAGGUGGCCGGCGAGCGGCGUGGUAUAGGCGGAAAGUGGUGGAGAAGCAAGAUGAUGGUGGCCACCGCCGACCCGACCUGGAGCUGGCCCUCUUUGAUGUCGUGUGCCUUGGGGUGGUCUUACUCUUGUCUCCAUGGAAAGCUGUAGCUCGACCUGGACUGGACGCCCGUGUGCUUGCAUAUAUAAUAUGCCAAUGAUUUGUGUGAUGAUCUGCUUAGGUUGAGCCUAAGCACGCGCCGCUGCGGUCGCCCUCGGAGCAGGUGAGGAGUUAUCGGAGCUGAGAAGAAGCGGGCGAGCAUCGACAUCGAUCGACCAGUCCACAGAAGUGGAAUUAUUUAUCGGAGACCCGCCACUCACCACACCGCUCCCGGAGAUGGAGUUAAAAAGCACGGAGCCGGGAAACAGAUGCUCCGCAGCUCCUCGUAUUCUUAAGGCAUCUCCAUUGCAUAGCCACUUCUGUAGACGCUUAAGGAUUAAAAAUAAAAAAGAUAUUGUCUACCGUUUGCAUAAGCG
This 5170-nucleotide long non-coding RNA is filed under the name Triticum aestivum (bread wheat). RNAcentral's name for it is "long non-coding RNA (TAES_LNC008502)". The record is from RNAcentral. Lineage: Eukaryota; Viridiplantae; Streptophyta; Magnoliopsida; Poales; Poaceae.